Long non-coding RNA from Dermochelys coriacea (leatherback sea turtle), 692 nucleotides. RefSeq lists it as uncharacterized. Lineage: Eukaryota; Metazoa; Chordata; Testudines; Dermochelyidae. The transcript is spliced from 4 exons. The record is from RefSeq and is a predicted model, not a curated record.
UUUGAGGAGUGAAGGCUGGGUGAUUGCUUGGCUGAAGCAGCAGCAGAAUAAGAAUAAGAAUAAUAGACUGGUCACUGUGAAGAGCUCACUGAAGCCCCGGUGUCUGGCUGGUGGGAACAGCAGCAGGACCAGUGAUAGGUCAGUGUGGGCAGGCUGAAGCCCAGGGGGAAUUGAACACAGAACCUGUACAGGCCAGCAAGGGUUCCAAGAUAGGCCCUGCUGGUCUGGUUGGAGAUUGAGGCCUCCAGAAACACCACCAGCUGCAGGUACUGAGAUGGGCCCUGGCUGAGUGGUUGAAGAAUGCAGUGUCUGUGGGAGAAGCCUUACAGCUACGGCCCCAUAUCGGUGCUGAGGAAGAAAAGCAAAGAUUAAAAAAAAAAUCAGACUGAACCUAGAACAUCUAUUUGGUUAAGAGCACAGAUCUGGGAGUUCUGUGGCUGAAAGAAGAGAGCAUGUGACAAAAAGCCACAAGGAGAUUUGAGUUUGGCUGACUGUGACAUUUGGGUAAGAUCCGAGAUGCAUGUUGUCCUGCGGCAAUGGAAUUAAAAAAUAACUCCCCACCCCAGGAAGAUACUCGCCCAAGUGUGUGUGUGUGUGUGUGGUUUCCAUCAAGAUAGUGUAUCUUUUUUUUUUUCCCUAUGCUUUGUAAAAUCAUCCCCACAGAAAUUAUGAGAAGUCAGUAAAUGCUUUUA